This 345-nucleotide ribosomal RNA is filed under the name uncultured bacterium. RNAcentral describes it as "bacterial SSU rRNA". It matches the Rfam family "Bacterial small subunit ribosomal RNA", at positions 32 to 369 of the family's 1533-position model. The record is from RNAcentral.
AAUCAACGCUGGCGGCGUGCCUCAGACAUGCAAGUCGAACGAUUAAAGCUCUCUUCGGAGAGUGCAUAGAGUGGCGCACGGGUGAGUAACACGUAAGUAAUCUACCUCUGAGUGGGGAAUAACGUCCGGAAACGGACGCUAAUACCGCAUAAUGCAGCGGCACCGCAAGGUGACAGUUGUUAAAGAUUUAUCGCUUGGAGAGGAGCUUGCGGCAGAUUAGCUAGUUGGUAAGGUAAUGGCUUACCAAGGCUACGAUCUGUAACCGGUCUAAGAGGACGGUCGGUCACACUGACACUGAAUAACGGGUCAGACUCCUACGGGAGGCAGCAGUCGGGAAUUUUGGGC